AGUCCUACGGGACGCAGCAGUGGGGAAUAUUGCACAAUGGGGGAAACCCUGAUGCAGCGACGCCGCGUGAGUGAAGAAGUAUUUCGGUAUGUAAAGCUCUAUCAGCAGGGAAGAAGUGGACGGUACCUGAGUAAGAAGCCCCGGCUAACUACGUGCCAGCAGCCGCGGUAAUACGUAGGGGGCAAGCGUUAUCCGGACUUACUGGGUGUAAAGGGAGCGUAGACGGCAGGGCAAGUCUGAAGUGAAAGCCCCGGGCUUAACC
This 262-nucleotide ribosomal RNA is filed under the name uncultured bacterium. Its description in RNAcentral is "partial 16S ribosomal RNA". It matches the Rfam family "Bacterial small subunit ribosomal RNA", at positions 335 to 614 of the family's 1533-position model. The record is from RNAcentral.